This 387-nucleotide ribosomal RNA is filed under the name uncultured bacterium. RNAcentral describes it as "bacterial SSU rRNA". It matches the Rfam family "Bacterial small subunit ribosomal RNA", at positions 28 to 416 of the family's 1533-position model. The record is from RNAcentral.
GACGAACGCUGGCGGCGUGCUUAACACAUGCAAGUCGAGCGGUAAGGCCCUUUCGGGGGUACACGAGCGGCGAACGGGUGAGUAACACGUGGGUGACCUGCCCUCAGCUCUGGGAUAAGCCUGGGAAACCGGGUCUAAUACCGGAUAUGACUCCAUGACGCAUGUUGUGGGGUGGAAAGCCUUGUGCGGCUGAGGAUGGGCCCGCGGCCUAUCAGCUUGUUAGUGGGGUGAUGGCCUACCAAGGCGACGACGGGUAGCCGGCCUGAGAGGGCGACCGGCCACACUGGGACUGAGACACGGCCCAGACUCCUACGGGAGGCAGCAGUGGGGAAUCUUGCGCAAUGGGCGAAAGCCUGACGCAGCGACGCCGCGUGAGGGAUGACGCCU